This 503-nucleotide ribosomal RNA is filed under the name uncultured bacterium. RNAcentral describes it as "partial 16S ribosomal RNA". It matches the Rfam family "Bacterial small subunit ribosomal RNA", at positions 30 to 523 of the family's 1533-position model. The record is from RNAcentral.
AUUGAACGCUGGCGGCAGGCUUAACACAUGCAAGUCGAGCGGGGUGAUGGUGCUUGCACUAUCACUUAGCGGCGGACGGGUGAGUAAUGCUUAGGAAUCUGCCUAUUAGUGGGGGACAACAUCUCGAAAGGGAUGCUAAUACCGCAUACGUCCUACAGGAGAAAGCAGGGGAUCACUUGUGACCUUGCGCUAAUAGAUGAGCCUAAGUCGGAUUAGCUAGUUGGUGGGGUAAAGGCCUACCAAGGCGACGAUCUGUAGCGGGUCUGUGAGGAUGAUCCGCCACACUGGGACAGAGACACGGCCCAGACUCCUACGGGGGGCAGCAGUGGGGAAUAUUGGACCAUGGGGGGAACCCUGAUCCAGCCAUGCCGCGUGUGUGAAGAAGGCCUUAUGGUUGUAAAGCACUUUAAGCGAGGAGGAGGCUCUUUUGGUUAAUACCCAAGAUGAGUGGACGUUACUCGCAGAAUAAGCACCGGCUAACUCUGUGCCAGCCGCCGCGGUAA